RNAcentral lists this ribosomal RNA (502 nucleotides) under uncultured Glomeromycotina. Its description in RNAcentral is "partial small subunit ribosomal RNA". It matches the Rfam family "Eukaryotic small subunit ribosomal RNA", at positions 591 to 1092 of the family's 1831-position model. The record is from RNAcentral. Lineage: Eukaryota; Fungi; Glomeromycota.
CCAAUAGCGUAUAUUAAAGUUGUUGCAGUUAAAAAGCUCGUAGUUGAACUUCGGGGUUUACCCAUUGGUCAGGUUUAAUUAUCUGUACUGGUGAGAUAAAUCUCUACCUUCUGAGGAACUUUCAUGCCAUUUAUUUGGUGUGGGAGGAAAUCAGGACUGUUACUUUGAAAAAAUUAGAGUGUUUAAAUCAGGCUAACGUCUGAAUACAUUAGCAUGGAAUAAUGAAAUAGGACGGACUGAUUCUAUUUCGUUGGUUUCUAGGAUCACCGUAAUGAUUAAUAGGUAUAGUUGGGGGCAUUAGUAUUCAAUUGGAAGAGGUGAAAUUCUUGGAUUUAUUGAAGACUAACUACUGCGAAAGCAUUUGCCAAGGAUGUUUUCAUUAAUCAAGAACGAAAGUUAGGGGAUCGAAGACGAUCAGAUACCGUCGUAGUCUUGACCAUAAACUAUGCCGACUAGUGAUCGGACGAAGUUAAUUUUAUAAUGACGCGUUCGACACCUUACU